Molecule: unclassified non-coding RNA, 306 nt
Filed under: plant metagenome
Description: partial contains 5.8S ribosomal RNA, internal transcribed spacer 2, and large subunit ribosomal RNA
Rfam family: 5.8S ribosomal RNA (bases 1-105)
Source: RNAcentral
GAAAUGCGAUAAGUAGUGUGAAUUGCAGAAUUCAGUGAAUCAUCGAAUCUUUGAACGCACAUUGCGCCCCUUGGUAUUCCAUGGGGCAUGUCUGUUCGAGCGUCAUUUGUACCUUCAAGCUUUGCUUGGUGUUGGGUGUUUGUCUCGCCUCUGCGCGCAGACUCGCCUCAAAACAAUUGGCAGCCGGCGUAUUGAUUUCGGAGCGCAGUACAUCUCGCGCUUUGCACUCAUAACGACGACGUCCAAAAAGUACAUUUUUUACACUCUUGACCUCGGAUCAGGUAGGGAUACCCGCUGAACUUAAGC